This 392-nucleotide long non-coding RNA is filed under the name Bubo bubo (Eurasian eagle-owl). RNAcentral describes it as "lncRNA (ENSBOBG00000005752.1)". Lineage: Eukaryota; Metazoa; Chordata; Aves; Strigiformes; Strigidae. The record is from RNAcentral.
GUGACAUCACAUCAUGAGUUGCCUGAGGUUCUCCAUGCCUUGCCCCUAGGAGUCUCCUUUGCAACCAAAAGGAGAACAAAAACCUGCUCGGCAGUACAUGUGCAGGGGCUGGAAACUCCUGCUGAUGUCACACCUACCCUUAAAAGGCUCUGCACCCUUGAAACUGCAACCUGAAUGCUGCAAGCCUGAAGGAACCAAAGUCCAUGAAGAGUCAUUCAGCCCCACAAAAGUCCCCUUUCACUUUAAAGACAACCCACAAAGCAAGCACUUGAAGGGAAAGGUCAUUCUUGGUGGGCCUGGAGUCCUUUGCUCCUGUGUAAGCAGCAGGGCACAGGCAGACGAUGGAGACUGAUGGGAGGCCCGGGAUUUAAAUGUGCUCAUGAAAAGCCAGG